GAGUUUGAUUCUGGCUCAGGAUGAACGCUGGCGGCAUGCCUAACACAUGCAAGUUGAACGAGAAGUUCUGGAGGGAGUCUUCGGACGAACGAAGGAAUGGAAAGUAGCGAACGGGUGAGUAACGCGUGGGCAACCAACCUUACACAGGGGGAUAACGCAGAGAAAUUUGCGCUAAUACCGCAUAAGCGCACAGUACCGCAUGGUACGGUGUGAAAAACUCCGGUGGUGUAAGACGGGCCCGCGUCUGAUUAGUUAGUUGGUGAGGUAAAAGCUCACCAAGGCGACGAUCAGUAGCCGACCUGAGAGGGUGAUCGGCCACAUUGGGACUGAGACACGGCCCAAACUCCUACGGGAGGCAGCAGUGGGGGAUAUUGCACAAUGGAGGGAACUCUGAUGCAGCAAUGCCGCGUGAAGGAAGACGGUUUUCGGAUUGUAAACUUCUAUCAGCAGGGAAGAAAGUG
Molecule: ribosomal RNA, 461 nt
Filed under: Lachnospiraceae bacterium canine oral taxon 073
Lineage: Bacteria; Bacillati; Bacillota; Clostridia; Lachnospirales; Lachnospiraceae
Description: bacterial SSU rRNA
Rfam family: Bacterial small subunit ribosomal RNA
Source: RNAcentral